UGUUCCAUGCAUGUGUUAUAAUAUUCAAUGUGAUGGAAAUCUUGAAAAGUUUUUUGAUUUUGGUUGCAACUAAACAGGGUCUCAAGAAAUGCAUACGAUUGAAUAGAGGAAUUAGUUGAGUGCAUGUCAUCGAUUGCAUGGAAAUUAGUUUAGUGUGGAACCAUCAUCAAAGGUUACAGAAACCUAAUCAAGUGCUAGCAAGAUUCUACACACAGACACCAACCCGCUAAGCUCCUUCAGACAUCAGGUAUCAUUGUCUCGGCAUAUAACCAACAACAUUCAGGAAGCUUCACUGAGAAUUCAUAACCCCAGCUUCAAAGGAAGUCUUAAAUUUCCAGGUCACUGACACUUCCCCUGAGCUUCACCUCUCAUGGGGCUACCACCAUGGUAUGAACCUUGCUCCCUUGGUGGGGAGCUCCUCCUGGGGCUGCGGCUGUAACCAGAGGUUCUUGGUGGCAAUUCUUCACCAUCAGCCUUAAAUUUGUUCCUUGGCGAAAGCGACCGACUGUUAGUGGGAAAAAAAAUAAAGUUAGAAAUAUUUAGUCAAAAUCAAACAUCAUCAGAACGGAAUUCUAGGAAACAUCUUUUCCUAUACUUUGCAUUGUAUAAAGUAAUUCAGCAGCCCUUUUUAACUUGCAGGACAGGUUUUUAUUUGGAAA
Long non-coding RNA from Sorghum bicolor (sorghum), 659 nucleotides. RefSeq lists it as uncharacterized. Lineage: Eukaryota; Viridiplantae; Streptophyta; Magnoliopsida; Poales; Poaceae. The record is from RefSeq and is a predicted model, not a curated record. The transcript has 2 exons.